CUGGCGGCAUGCUUUACACAUGCAAGUCAANCGGGGUGAGGGGGCAGCUCCUCAUUCAGUGGCGAACGGGUGAGUAAUGCAUCGGAACGUGUCCCGUAGUGGGGGAUAACGCCGCGAAAGCGGCGCUAAUACCGCAUACGCCCUGUGGAGGAAAGCAGGGGACCCGCGAGGGCCUUGUGCUAGGGGGGCGGCCGAUGUCCGAUUAGCUAGUUAGUGGGGUAAUGGCUUACCAAGGCGACGAUCGGUAGCUGGUCUGAGAGGAUGAUCAGCCACACUGGGACUGAGACACGGCCCAGACUCCUACGGGAGGCAGCAGUGGGGAAUUUUGGACAAUGGGGGCAACCCUGAUCCAGCCAUGCCGCGUGCGGGAAGAAGGCCUUCGGGUUGUAAACCGCUUUUAGCCGGGAAGAAAAGGAUACGGAUAACACCCGUAUUUUUUGACGGUACCGGCGGAAUAAGCACCGGCUAACUACGUGCCAGCAGCCGCGGUAAUACGUAGGGUGCGAGCGUUAAUCGGAAUUACUGGGCGUAAAGCGUGCGCAGGCGGUUCGUUGUGUCGGCGGUGAAAGCCCCGGGCUCAACCUGGGAAUGGCCGUUGAAACUGGCGAACUGGAGUG
This 617-nucleotide ribosomal RNA is filed under the name uncultured soil bacterium. RNAcentral's name for it is "bacterial SSU rRNA". It matches the Rfam family "Bacterial small subunit ribosomal RNA", at positions 36 to 648 of the family's 1533-position model. The record is from RNAcentral.